AAUGCAGAUUAUCAGCCCCUGAAUAAUCAAACUUAGUAAAUCUGGGAUGGGCAAUUCUUUUUUUUUUAAAGUUUAUUAAUUUAUUUUAUUUGAGAGAGAGAGAGCGAGCGAGAGAGAACGUGUGCCUGUGAGCAGGAGAGGGGCAGAGAGAGAGGGAGAGAGAGAAUCCUAAGCAAGCUCUGUGCCAUCACCUUAGAGCCUGAUGCAGAGCUUGAUCCCAUGAAUCAUGAGAUUGCGACCUGAGCCGAAAUCAAGAGUCAGAUGCAUAACUGACUGAGCCACCCGUGUGCCCCUGGGAUGGGUAAUUCUUAUGGCCAGAAAAGGUUAGGAAAUACUGCUCUAUUCCAUGCUCAUCACAAUGUGUUGCAACUGUCUCUGUUGGUGGCCAUGGUAACCAUCUGGCCUGCUGGACUGUCUCUUGAGGGCAGUACCACAUCUACCUCCAUAGCACAUUGAGCAAUGUCUGGCACAUACAUUGAAUAAAAGAGUCAAUCAACGGAGAAACCAUGCAUCAUUUGAAUGACUUCACAGUCCAGAGAGUUCUGGCUUACUCAUCAUGCUAUUACUCCCUGCCAAGGUAGCUUCACCUACAUCGUCUGGAGGCAGGAGUCAUGGAAAUGGUUGGUAGUGAAGGUCAAGAUCACAUUGGGGGAGAGCUGAAAUCAAAUAACAUUAUCUGAUGCUGUGGUGCGAGAACAUGGACAUCCGAGGGAGGGAAUGUUUGGGUUUGGGUUGGAGUCCUUUCCCUGUCAUGUAUCCACUCACAACCUUAGCGAGUAAAUGACUUUUCUGAGUUUCC
Molecule: long non-coding RNA, 799 nt
Organism: Acinonyx jubatus (cheetah)
Lineage: Eukaryota; Metazoa; Chordata; Mammalia; Carnivora; Felidae
Exons: 2
Source: RefSeq, a predicted model, not a curated record